GCCGGGGUCGCCUAGACUGGCCUAGGGCGCCGGACUCAUAGUCCGGUUUCCGCGGGUUCGAGAGGGCUUCAAGCCCCGGAGAUCCCGCCCCCGGCACCA
This 99-nucleotide transfer RNA is filed under the name Thermoprotei archaeon. RNAcentral's name for it is "tRNA-Met". It matches the Rfam family "tRNA". Rfam says of the family: Transfer RNA (tRNA) molecules are approximately 80 nucleotides in length. Their secondary structure includes four short double-helical elements and three loops (D, anti-codon, and T loops). Further hydrogen bonds mediate the characteristic L-shaped molecular structure. tRNAs have two regions of fundamental functional importance: the anti-codon, which is responsible for specific mRNA codon recognition, and the 3' end, to which the tRNAs corresponding amino acid is attached (by aminoacyl-tRNA synthetases). tRNAs cope with the degeneracy of the genetic code in two manners: having more than one tRNA (with a specific anti-codon) for a particular amino acid; and 'wobble' base-pairing, i.e. permitting non-standard base-pairing at the 3rd anti-codon position. Lineage: Archaea; Thermoproteati; Thermoproteota; Thermoprotei. The record is from RNAcentral.